UCCCAGUGAAGAGACAUUUACACGUCUUCCUCCUGUCCAAACCCCGGAGCCUGGGAAGGUGAACUGCUGGGGCUGGUGGGGGAGACAGGAUAUGUGCUCUGGGAGGAACUAUCUGAGGGGU
Molecule: small nucleolar RNA, 121 nt
Organism: Heterocephalus glaber (naked mole-rat)
Lineage: Eukaryota; Metazoa; Chordata; Mammalia; Rodentia; Bathyergidae
Gene: SNORD22
Rfam family: Small nucleolar RNA SNORD22
About the family: U22 is a member of the C/D class of snoRNA which contain the C (UGAUGA) and D (CUGA) box motifs.
Source: Ensembl